GGGGGCGUAGCGCAGUUGGGAGCGUGUCUGAAUGGCAUUCAGAAGGUCGAGGGUUCGAUCCCCUUCGUCUCCACCA
This 76-nucleotide transfer RNA is filed under the name Clostridiales bacterium. Its description in RNAcentral is "tRNA-Ala". It matches the Rfam family "tRNA". Rfam says of the family: Transfer RNA (tRNA) molecules are approximately 80 nucleotides in length. Their secondary structure includes four short double-helical elements and three loops (D, anti-codon, and T loops). Lineage: Bacteria; Bacillati; Bacillota; Clostridia; Eubacteriales. The record is from RNAcentral. RNAcentral also lists the same sequence under 1 other name.